Molecule: transfer RNA, 66 nt
Filed under: Actinokineospora globicatena
Lineage: Bacteria; Bacillati; Actinomycetota; Actinomycetes; Pseudonocardiales; Pseudonocardiaceae
Description: tRNA-Ser
Source: RNAcentral
GGUCGCCGGGGAACGGGUCGCGGUCCUGGAGGGGCCGUCGCGGUCGUUCGGCCUGAUCGGCGGCCU